ACCGUGGCCUGGCAAGAUCGGACGUUUUCCGAGGAACCCGGCUGAGCUCCUGUGAGAGCUGCUCCCUGCACUGAUGUGGUCCCUUGGCUGGCAGGCUGCUCUGUGAUCAACCAGGUGACACCUGCCUGUUAUGAGGGACAGGUAGGAGAGGAUGGGCUUUCCAUCAAAACAAACAAAAAAAAGUCCAGAAUUUCUGAUAAUAUCACUUCUUUUCCAGAGUCCCAAGAAGGAACUCGGCUCUUCAGAGAUUCAGGACUCAGGAGAAGACUUCGUAGUGAGAGUUGACGUAGAAGUUGACAGCCCAAACCCCACACCAGUUCUUAGAAGUAUUGAUCUCCAAGAAAGAGCAGAAAGAGCUACAACUCCUGCUCCCAGGGACUUACAGGUCCCAGAAUGAGAAAGUCCCUCUUUAGUGGAUCUAGAGAAUCUAUUCGUUAAACCUGGAGAAGAACAUGAGGUUAUAGUUUCUUUUUCUCCAAGGGAUCCCAAAGUUUGGGAGGAAAGGAUCUAAAAAAUGUUUGUGCAGCCAUUUGGACCUCAGUAUGAAGUGGUGUUAAAAGGUGAAGUCCAUUCUUCAGGAAGUAAACCUCUGCCACGUGGAUCAUGCUCAGACAUCCUAUUGAAGUUUGUCCAACAAUUUCUUGCUUUGGAAGGUGUCUCUCUUGGUGGAACACAGUUUCACCUUUUGCUGGAACUCAGAGCUACAAAUGAUGCUUAAUGUACCAAUGCCUUCUGACUGAACUCCUCUCUGCCCUGAAUACAAGAGACCCUAAUAGUUAUGUGGAAAUAUCAUCGCCCCGUUCAGCAUGAAGAAGUUACAAAAGAUGGACCUUCAUCCUUCUGCAACCCUUAGGAUUAAGGGUCCUCUUGUAAAAGGGAGGGGAAAUAUGUAAGAAGCAUUCAAACCAGAGCGACUCCAUUUUGAACAAGGGCUAAGAAAAAUGAAGCUGGGUCCUGUUGGGCUGCAUGCCCAGGAGGUUAAGCAUUCUUAGCCUCAAGAUGUUUACAAUUGAGGGAACAGAUUAAUAAUGUUUCCUAAACAGACUCAGGACUUAACAGACUCAGGAACGUCUUGAUACUUUGAGAACAAAAGCACUUCUAGUUUUAAAUACGCAUUGUACCUAGGCUGGAUGCUUUUCUUACUUUUGGAAAUGCCCUACCCUGUCUAUGGAGUCACUAUUCAUUCCCUCCUUUAUUAAAGUUGCUUCUAUUUUGCACUGUG
Molecule: long non-coding RNA, 1222 nt
Filed under: Homo sapiens (human)
Lineage: Eukaryota; Metazoa; Chordata; Mammalia; Primates; Hominidae
Description: non-protein coding lnc-THOC3-2:26
Source: RNAcentral